This is a non-coding RNA of Nicotiana tabacum (common tobacco), 3526 nucleotides long. The record is from RefSeq and is a predicted model, not a curated record. Lineage: Eukaryota; Viridiplantae; Streptophyta; Magnoliopsida; Solanales; Solanaceae.
UCUCUUUCUCCUAUAUAUUUGAUUUUUUUGUUUAUAAAACUAGUGUUCGGGCUAGUGGAUAUUAGAUGUUCCACCAUUUUGCUUCAUGUUGAAAUGUUGACUAGAUUUCCCUUUACCGGACAUUUUCUACCAUGGGUUAUAUCCAAGUGAAGAUUCAAAUUUCCGACCCCAACUUUCAUGUGACUGAAGCAUAGUUGUUGUUGUUGGUUAUAUCCAUAUGGUUUUCAACUGAUUCUAAAUGGACAUUUUCUACAAGAGAUAUUUAGGCUUGUUCUUAACGAAGAGGUCUUUUCAAAUGAUAAAACAACAAAAUGGCCCAGAGUAAUAAAGAUACCUUUUGGGGAGAAAGUUAUACGAAUGAAAAAAGAAUAUUAUUCCUGUAUCUGGUCACAGAACUUCGUCAUCAGUUAAAAUUGUGCUAUCAUACCAGAAUAAACAAUUCGAUUGAUCUGACUAAACCUUUCAGGUUCCAUUAGAAUUUGAAUUUUUUUAAGGUCCAGCUGCUACCCUCUUCUCUCUAUUUCAAUUUGGAAAAUUAUCUUUUAUUUGAAAGGAAUUAAUGCAACAUAUUCUGUACUCCUGCAAUUGAUGGCCAAAAGACAAACUAGAGUUGAUAAUACAUGGGGAUAUUGCUUCAUUUGUGACCAUUUUGUAGUGGGGAAAAUAGAAAUGGUAUGUUCAGAUUUUGGUGGGUUUGAAUGAAAUUUUAGAGCAUUUUACUUUAUCUCAUGAAGAGGGGAUUGUGACUAGAUUUUGUUAUCAGAGGAGGGUUAUGAAUGCCUAUUUGAAAAAUAUUAUCUGGAAAACGUGAUAUACCUUGAGAACUUCAUCUGUUAAUCUAUUUUUUUGACUUUGUGUUGGGAUUUUGUGGUCAUUUAUCAUGCGUUGCUUGUUUUAUCUUUAUCUCCUUGAAGGGUUGUUACUAAUUAGUUAUUAUUAAAGAUUUGUAUAUUGUCUGUCCUAAUCCUGAUGAAAUUUUAUUUUAAUUGUAAGAUAGAUAUGGAAGAGGGACAAAAAGUAUGAUAGCCCUAGAGUUACUUGUAUGCUUUAGGUAUAGAUGCCAAUUUGUGGAUGAACCAGCUUCACCUUGUGUUCUGUAUUUAUAUAUGUUACAUGGAUCCUCUAUCUUUGAGCCAUCUUUGCUAUGGUCGUAGACUUAAUUUAUUACAUAUACUUCCUCCACUUCAUUUGACCCUCUCAUUGCUUUUGAAUUUUUUAAUUUCAUCAUCAAUUAUUUUCUCCUUGUCAAUAUGUUGUGCUAAUGUCCUUAAACUCUAGUGUCCUGAGUAGGAACCUCUUGGCAGGAAGUAUUUAUUGCAACUAUGUUGCCAACAAAGGCUCUUUGUACCCGGUUGAGCCUCAACAUUAUUAUCAUUCAAGUGAUUCUGUUUUUCAGCAUCUUCCAUAACUUCUUCAACCUCUAACAUUGCAAAUUUGUUUCCAACUUGUACCUGCUACCUCUCACCUUGAUCUACUGGGACUAUUUCUUUCCCAGUCAUUGCUUGUGCUGCAUUCUGAUUAUUUGACUUCUUAGCUCGAUUAUCCCUAACCUCUUUCCAUUACUCCUUGCCUCUUCCAGUUACAUUACCUACAACCUUCCCACUCGACAUUACCAUUAGUGUGCCCUGCUGAUUCUGAUUUGCCUGCUCAAGUUGUUUUCCAGCAUCAUUCCCAAUAUCAUUCUCAGCUUGCUGCUCGGCAACCUUAUUUUCCAUUAAUUUUGGGUGAAGUCUCCAGCAGUCCAUCAUAUCAUGCCCCUGUAAUUUGCACUCCUUACAGUACUUGGGAUGAAUCAAGCGGCAGCUCUUAAGAGAAAAGUUCUGAAUCCAAACAAAGCUCAAAUUCCAAUGAAGAAUAUAGGUUUCGAUUUCCAAUACCGAUCAAGUGCCGAACUAGUCAAAAAAAUUCAGAUUAAGAUAGAAAAGCUUGCAAGUGAUUGCAACGACAAAACUGCUAAAGAGCAUGCAUUACUAGCAGUUAAAAGGAAGAAUUAUAUGACUGCAACAUUAGAAGGACAAAGUAGACAGAGGUUAACUAAAUCGGAUGUGUCAGUUCAAAAGUUAGGAAGGAAUAGAUUAUCGGUGUACAAAUCAAUCCAAUUAUCUUCAAGGGAAAAGCUGAACACUUCACAUAAUAUUGCAAGUAAUGGACAAAUUAAACAAAGGUCAAUGUAAUUGGAGGAGCCCAUUCAAAAGCAAGGAUUGAGUAAAUUACCUGUGCCCACAUCCAUGAUCCAAUCAUCUGCAAAGGUAGAUCCUAACACUUUACAUAUGAUUAGAAGAACACAAGGUGAUGGAGAGAAACAACUUGAUAUUUAAGAGCUACAAAAUUAUAAAAAGGUAAAGACAAACUCAAUCCUACCAUCGAGGAGUGGUAAUCAGUUUCUAAAAAAUAUGGGAUACAAGUAGGUGGUGAAAAACAUCCUGAUAAUCACCCAAAAAAUGAAGUCAGAUUUAUGUCCUCUCCUAUUAUUGAUGAGCGUGAAAUAGAAUUGGAUAAUUUUGCUGCACAAGAUGAAGUUGGUAACGAUGAAUUUAUUGGAGAUGAGGAUAUGAACAUCGAUGGUGAUGCAGGUGGGACAUCAGAGAAGAAAAGAAUUCGAGAAAAAACAACAUGCAAGAAUAUUCAAGCAAGAAGUUUUGAAGAAAGAGAGGAGAUGACAUUUUGAUAAAGGACAAGCAGUUGGGCCACUGACAAUAAAGUGUCUGAUUUAACCAACUUUUUAGGAACAAUUGCAAGAAAUCCAAGAUUUAUCCCCUUGGUGAAUACUAGUUGGCAUGCUGUGUCAAAGGAUAUUAAGCGCCGAAUAUGGGAAUAUGUCAAUCGCGCAACCAAAGAGAACAAUGAGGAACUAUCAAAGUCUGAAAUGUUUAUUACAACUCGUACAAAAAAGGGAAGGAAGUUCAUACAAAUACUCAAGUUGCAAUAUCUGAACUUCAGAAUCGUCAAAGUUCCGAAGAAACAACAGAUGAUGCAUUUAGGGUUGUAUUUGGAAAGGAGCAGCCUGGUCGGGUUAGAUGCUAUGGUAGAUCGGUGAUGACAAGCUCUCUGAAAAAAAUGAAGAAAUCACCAAGCUUAAACAAAAGCAUGCCAAUGAAAUAACUUCUCUAAAGGAAGAAAUGAUGAGAGAAGAAAUGUGAUAUUUUUUUAUUCAAUUGGUGAAAAACAACCCUGGACUGGAUUUUAAUGAUAUACAAGGGUGUGUUGGAUCUAAUAUUCCUUCACCAGUUGAUGCAAGUAGUGCACGAGCUAUGAGAGGCUAAAAUCUGCCACAGUCUUCUGGCUCAACUCACGCCCCAUGUCUUGAAAAGGAAAUACGGGCGAUGCAAUUGGAUAUGGUGGUCACAAAUCAAUUUGAUUCAUUAAAGUGAAUGGUGAAGACCUUUUGAACAAUUGGGAUGUUUAUUUUUAUUGAUUCUAUAAAUAUGAAUACAUUUGGUUUUGUAGAGGUCUCUACUAGUGAACUCUUGAACCAAUAGUGCUUUAUUACUAUAGACAGUACACAAAGUAUGUUUCUUUGUUGAAA